GGCUACACACGUGCUACAAUGGCGCAUACAAAGAGAAGCGACCUCGCGAGAGCAAGCGGACCUCAUAAAGUGCGUCGUAGUCCGGAUUGGAGUCUGCAACUCGACUCCAUGAAGUCGGAAUCGCUAGUAAUCGUGGAUCAGAAUGCCACGGUGAAUACGUUCCCGGGCCUUGUACACACCGCCCGUCACACCAUGGGAGUGGGUUGCAAAAGAAGUAGGUAGCUUAACCUUCGGGAGGGCGCUUACCACUUUGUGAUUCAUGACUGGGGCGAAGUCGUAACAAGGUAACCGUAGGGGAACCUGCGGUUGGAUCACCUCC
Molecule: ribosomal RNA, 319 nt
Filed under: Escherichia coli
Lineage: Bacteria; Pseudomonadati; Pseudomonadota; Gammaproteobacteria; Enterobacterales; Enterobacteriaceae
Description: bacterial SSU rRNA
Rfam family: Bacterial small subunit ribosomal RNA
Source: RNAcentral